AGCGAACGCUGGCGGCAGGCCUAACACAUGCAAGUCGAACGAACCUUUCGGGGUUAGUGGCGGACGGGUGAGUAACACGUGGGAACGUGCCUUUAAGUUCGGAAUAACUCAGGGAAACUUGUGCUAAUACCGAAUGUGCCCUUCUGGGGAAAGAUUUAUCGCCUUUAGAGCGGCCCGCGUCUGAUUAGCUAGUUGGUUGAGGUAAUGGCUCACCAAGGCGACGAUCAGUAGCUGGUCUGAGAGGAUGAUCAGCCACAUUGGGACUGAGACACGGCCCAAACUCCUACGGGAGGCAGCAGUGGGGAAUCUUGCGCAAUGGGCGAAAGCCUGACGCAGCCAUGCCGCGUGAAUGAUGAAGGUCUUAGGAUUGUAAAAUUCUUUCACCGGGGACGAUAAUGACGGUACCCGGAGAAGAAGCCCCGGCUAACUUCGUG
This 434-nucleotide ribosomal RNA is filed under the name uncultured bacterium. RNAcentral describes it as "partial 16S ribosomal RNA". It matches the Rfam family "Bacterial small subunit ribosomal RNA", at positions 29 to 507 of the family's 1533-position model. The record is from RNAcentral.